This 253-nucleotide ribosomal RNA is filed under the name uncultured bacterium. RNAcentral's name for it is "partial 16S ribosomal RNA". It matches the Rfam family "Bacterial small subunit ribosomal RNA", at positions 524 to 776 of the family's 1533-position model. The record is from RNAcentral.
UACGUAGGGCGCAAGCGUUGUCCGGAAUUAUUGGGCGUAAAGAGCUCGUAGGUGGCUUGUCGCGUCUGCCGUGAAAGCCCAUGGCUUAACUGUGGGUCUGCGGUGGAUACGGGCAGGCUGGAGGCUGGUAGGGGCAGGCGGAAUUCCUGGUGUAGCGGUGAAAUGCGCAGAUAUCAGGAGGAACACCGGUGGCGAAGGCGGCUUGCUGGGCCAGUUCUGACGCUGAGGAGCGAAAGCGUGGGGAGCGAACAGG